GACGAACGCUGGCGGCGUGCCUAAUACACGCACGUAGAACGCCGUUGCGAACGGGUGAGUAACGCGUAGGUAACUGCCUCAUAGCGCGGGUUAACUAUUGGACACGAUAGCUACUCCCGCACACUGUGAGAUGGACCUGCGUUGUAUGAGCUAGUUGGGGAUGUAACGGCCCACCAAGGCGACGAUACAUAGCCGACCUGAGAGGAGGAGCGGCCACACUUGGAAGGAGACACGUGCCAGACGCCUACGGAAGGCAGCAGUAGGGAAUCUUCGGCAAUGGACGGAAGGCUGACAGGGCAACGCCGCGUGAGUGAAGAGGGUUGUCGGAUCGUAAAGCUCUGUUGGUAGAGAAGCGGUAACUAACCAGGAAGGGACGGCUAACGACGGGCCAGCAGCCGCGGUAAUUC
This 407-nucleotide ribosomal RNA is filed under the name uncultured bacterium. RNAcentral describes it as "partial 16S ribosomal RNA". It matches the Rfam family "Bacterial small subunit ribosomal RNA", at positions 28 to 526 of the family's 1533-position model. The record is from RNAcentral.